AUUGAACGCUGGCGGCAGGCCUAACACAUGCAAGUCGAGCGGAUGAAGGGAGCUUGCUCCUGGAUUCAGCGGCGGACGGGUGAGUAAUGCCUAGGAAUCUGCCUGGUAGUGGGGGAUAACGUCCGGAAACGGGCGCUAAUACCGCAUACGUCCUGAGGGAGAAAGUGGGGGAUCUUCGGACCUCACGCUAUCAGAUGAGCCUAGGUCGGAUUGGCUAGUUGGUGGGGUAAAGGCCUACCAAGGCGACGAUCUGUAACUGGUCUGAGAGGAUGAUCAGUCACACUGGAACUGAGACACGGUCCAGACUCCUACGGGAGGCAGCAGUGGGGAAUAUUGGACAAUGGGCGAAAGCCUGAUCCAGCCAUGCCGCGUGUGUGAAGAAGGUCUUCGGAUUGUAAAGCACUUUAAGUUGGGAGGAAGGGCAGUAAGUUAAUACCUUGCUGUUUUGACGUUACCAACAGAAUAAGCACCGGCUAACUUCGUG
Molecule: ribosomal RNA, 484 nt
Filed under: uncultured bacterium
Lineage: Bacteria
Description: partial 16S ribosomal RNA
Rfam family: Bacterial small subunit ribosomal RNA
Source: RNAcentral